Molecule: ribosomal RNA, 918 nt
Filed under: Triticum aestivum (bread wheat)
Lineage: Eukaryota; Viridiplantae; Streptophyta; Magnoliopsida; Poales; Poaceae
Description: partial small subunit ribosomal RNA
Source: RNAcentral
AUGGCCAAGAUCCGAGAGAGGAAGACGAGGGAUAUUGGCCAAGUCAAAUGCAUCAAGGACGGAGCAGGCCAACUCUUGGUGAAGGACGAGGAGAUUAAGCAUAGAUGGCGGGAGUACUUCGACAAGCUGUUCAAUGGGGAGAAUGAGAGUUCUACCAUUGAACUGGACGAGUCCUUUGAUGAGACCAGCAUGCGUUUUGUGCAGCGAAUCCAGGAGUCUGAGGUCAAGGAGGCUUUAACAAGGAUGAAAGGAGGCAAGGCGAUGGGCCCUGAUUGUAUCCCCAUUGAGGUGUGGAAAGGUCUCGGGGACAUAGCGAUAGUAUGGCUAACCAAGCUUUUCAACCUCAUUUUUCGGGCAAACAAGAUGCCAGAAGAAUGGAGGAGUAUAUUAGUACCAAUCUUCAAGAACAAGGGAGAUGUUCAGAGUUGUACUAAUUACUGUGGAAUUAAGCUGAUGAGCCAUACAAUGAAGCUAUGGGAGAGAGUCAUUGAGCACCGCUUAAGAAGAAUGACAAGCGUGACCAAAAAUCAGUUUGGUUUCAUGCCUAGGAGGUCGACCAUGGAAGCCAUUUUCUUGGUAGGACAACUUAUGGAGAGAUAUAGGGAGCAAAAGAAGGACUUGCAUAUGGUGUUCAUUGACUUGGAGAAGGCCUAUGAUAAGAUACCGCGGAAUGUCAUGUGGUGGGCCUUGGAGAAACACAAAGUCCCAGCAAAGUACAUUACCCUCAUCAAGGACAUGUACGAUAAUGUUGUGACAAGUGUUCGAACAAGUGAUGUCGACACUGAUGACUUCCCGAUUAAGAUAGGACUGCAUCAGGGGUCAGCUUUGAGCCCUUAUCUUUUUGCAUUGAUGAUGGAUGAGGUCACAAGGGAUAUACAAGGAGAUAUCCCAUGGUGUAUGCUCUUUGCAGAUGAUUGA